RNAcentral lists this ribosomal RNA (429 nucleotides) under Chloroflexota bacterium. RNAcentral's name for it is "Chloroflexi bacterium partial 16S ribosomal RNA". It matches the Rfam family "Bacterial small subunit ribosomal RNA", at positions 355 to 776 of the family's 1533-position model. Lineage: Bacteria; Bacillati; Chloroflexota. The record is from RNAcentral.
UGGGGAAUAUUGCACAAUGGGCGCAAGCCUGAUGCAGCCAUGCCGCGUGUGUGAAGAAGGCCUUCGGGUUGUAAAGUACUUUCAGCGGGGAGGAAGGGAGUAAAGUUAAUACCUUUACUCAUUGACGUUACCCGCAGAAGAAGCACCGGCUAACUCCGUGCCAGCAGCCGCGGUAAUACGGAGGGUGCAAGCGUUAAUCGGAAUUACUGGGCGUAAAGCGCACGCAGGCGGUUGAUUGAGUCAGAUGUGAAAUCCCCGGGCUUAACCCGGGAAUUGCAUCUGAUACUGGUCAGCUAGAGUCUUGUAGAGGGGGGUAGAAUUCCAUGUGUAGCGGUGAAAUGCGUAGAGAUGUGGAGGAAUACCGGUGGCGAAGGCGGCCCCCUGGACAAAGACUGACGCUCAGGUGCGAAAGUGUGGGGAGCAAACAGG